UGUGAGCUAGGAUGCCUUGUUGCCACUACAA
This 31-nucleotide non-coding RNA is filed under the name Homo sapiens (human). The record is from RNAcentral. Lineage: Eukaryota; Metazoa; Chordata; Mammalia; Primates; Hominidae.